This 902-nucleotide long non-coding RNA is filed under the name Mustela putorius furo (domestic ferret). RNAcentral's name for it is "lncRNA (ENSMPUG00000024989.1)". Lineage: Eukaryota; Metazoa; Chordata; Mammalia; Carnivora; Mustelidae. The record is from RNAcentral.
GGUGUGGCUCCCUCCCAGGUGACGAGCUGCUGCGCGUGCCCUGAGCUGACCGCACCGGUCAUGACACCGUGACGGCUGCGGCCCUUCCUUGAGAGGCACCCUGACCCCGUGUCCUGAGAGCAAGGCAGCGAUGGUCCUGCCUCCGUGGUCCUGCUACAGCUUGGUCUCGGCCAAUGGAUGCUGGUGGUUUGACAGAGGGCUGUUGGUCAAGGACAGGUGCGCCUCUGCUCUCCGGGCCAAAAUGACUUGCACCAGCCAGUGUGCUGGCUUUCCCGCCCUGCUGGAGCACCAGCAGGACCCCGCACACCCCCCAUCACUGCAGCCAGCCUCCCAGAGGGCAUGAUGGUGUUUACCAGGCCUCUGGAAGACCAUCCCGGCUCGGGGGCCGCGCCCCCUGGAGGCUGAGAAGAGAAGGAGCCUUUCCUGCCGCGGGUUACUGGCGAAUUUCUUCAGCACAUCAUCCACCGAUUCUGCUUAUUGCCUGGCUUGUUAUUGCCCAAAACAAAUGACCUGUAACUUACGUGUCCAACAACCGAGAGAUGGUUAUGGAAAGAACAGAACUGUAGUGCAUUAAGUUACUAUUUGAAAUGAUGUUUAUACAGCACUUAUAAUAACAUGAAAAAUUGUUUAUGAUCUAAUAGCAAUAGGAAACAAAGUAGUCUGUGCCAUGUUAUAUGAAGACUAUUACGGCAAAUGCAUUUCUUUAAAAAAUCAGAAUUCUAAUAUGAUACCAGAAGAAAGCAGCAAGAAAGCUAUCUUUGCAUGACGAGUUUAAGAUGCUUAUUCUAAACAAUGAAUUCUGGAACACUGAAAAGAAAUUAAAAAAAAUAAAUACAUAAUUUUAAAAAUACAAAAAUAAAUACAUUCAUUUUGUUUUUUUAAAAAAGAUGCUUAUUCUCCUU